Molecule: non-coding RNA, 678 nt
Organism: Phoenix dactylifera (date palm)
Lineage: Eukaryota; Viridiplantae; Streptophyta; Magnoliopsida; Arecales; Arecaceae
Source: RefSeq, a predicted model, not a curated record
AGCAAUAGGGGGGGUGUAUUUAGAACUACCCGACCUCUCGGCCCUCAACUCUUUUUGUCUCUCUCUAAUGCCCUUCGGUCCUUACCUCUCGUGCAGGCUGCGCCAAUCCCUGCCUCCCACCCAAGUUUUUAGUUUUCAUUGCCCUCUAUUCCCCUUCAUCUCUCACCAUUGUUAGUGCUUGGUUUCCAUGGACAGACAGCUAGGAAUUGAGUGUAGAUGGGGAUUGUUUCGCCCCAUCAGAUGUUGAAAGGGGCGUUGUGGAGCUCAGCUGUGCGCUGCAUGUUGUCAACUUCAAUCAAACAAUGAUCCAAAGACUCAGCACCAAGAGAAGUGUCAAAUGAGAAAGGAAAAUAUUGAGGCAAGUCUGGGUCGAUAGCUUCUAUUAUUUCAAGGUUGCAUGGUUUUGAAAUUCAGUAAUGAUCACCAAUGUAAUGAUUGUGCUUUUGUGAAAGCUCGUCUAUAUCGAAUCAAUAGAGUUUUGAUGUAACGCUUCUUAGUGAGCUGAUACAGGCUCUGUAAUGAAAGUCCAUCAUCUAUUGGGCUGGGAUUUGGGUGCUCAUUACAGUUUUUAGCACAAAAAGAACCCCAAUGUUAGGCUCCAUGGCUUCAAUAAGAGUCCAAAUUGCAACUGGAUCCAGAACAUCACAAAUAAUAUUUUUGUUUUCUUCAAAACAAAAA